This 192-nucleotide ribosomal RNA is filed under the name uncultured bacterium. RNAcentral describes it as "partial 16S ribosomal RNA". It matches the Rfam family "Bacterial small subunit ribosomal RNA", at positions 1312 to 1500 of the family's 1533-position model. The record is from RNAcentral.
ACGCCUUCCAUGAAGCCGGAAUUGCUAGUAAUGGCAGGUCAGCAUACUGCCGUGAAUACGUUCCCGGGCCUUGUACACACCGCCCGUCACACCAUGAGAGUUGGGGAUACCCGAAGCCUGUGAGCUAACUAUUUAUAGGAGCAGCAGUCGAAGGUAGAAUCAAUGAUUGGGGUGAAGUCGUAACAAGGUAUC